GACGAACGCUGGCGGCGUGCUUAACACAUGCAAGUCGAACGGAAAGGCCCUGCUUUUGUGGGGUGCUCGAGUGGCGAACGGGUGAGUAACACGUGAGUAACCUGCCCUUGACUUUGGGAUAACUUCAGGAAACUGGGGCUAAUAUCGGAUAGGAGCUCCUGCUGCAUGGUGGGGGUUGGAAAGUUUCGGCGGUUGGGGAUGGACUCGCGGCUGAUCAGCUUGUUGGUGGGGUAGUGGCUUACCAAGGCUUUGACGGGUAGCCGGCCUGAGAGGGUGACCGGCCACAUUGGGACUGAGAUACGGCCCAGACUCCUACGGGAGGCAGCAGUGGGGAAUAUUGCACAAUGGGCGGAAGCCUGAUGCAGCAACGCCGCGUGCGGGAUGACGGCCUUCGGGUUGUAAACCGCUUUCGCCUGUGACGAAGCGUGAGUGACGGUAAUGGGUAAAGAAGCACCGGCUAACUACGUG
This 468-nucleotide ribosomal RNA is filed under the name uncultured bacterium. Its description in RNAcentral is "partial 16S ribosomal RNA". It matches the Rfam family "Bacterial small subunit ribosomal RNA", at positions 28 to 507 of the family's 1533-position model. The record is from RNAcentral.